Non-coding RNA from Danio rerio (zebrafish), 74 nucleotides. The record is from Rfam. Lineage: Eukaryota; Metazoa; Chordata; Actinopteri; Cypriniformes; Danionidae.
GUCUCUGUGUUGCAAUCGGUUAGCGCGUUCGGCUGUUAACUGAAAGGUUGGUGGUUCAAGCCCACCCAGGGACG